UAACUGUACUAUUAUAUAGUCCCAGGCCCAGUCUCAUCAGCUGCGGUCUAGUCUCUCUCAUGCUCAAUGGCACUGGCAUGAUUGAGGCAACACACCUGGAUGCGGGGAACUCUCGUCAGGCUCAUGGUACCAAGCGCCGGUGGUAACACCCCGGCGUUCCUAUGAUACGGGUACGGUAAUAAUCCAUGAGAUAGAGACAAUCCGCAGCCGAGUCGGCUGCCCGAGAGGGAUGCUGGCCGGUUCAACGCUCGCUAAGGUGUGGGUUGUCUUGUUAUAUAGAUGGCUUAAGGUACGGGCUACGCCCACCCGAGAGGGUGACACUGUCUACCGGGAGUGCAAACCGAGACGCAGUGUUUGCAGUCCAGCGAUUGCAAGGUAUCACGG
RNAcentral lists this non-coding RNA (384 nucleotides) under Fusarium sp. Lineage: Eukaryota; Fungi; Ascomycota; Sordariomycetes; Hypocreales; Nectriaceae. The record is from RNAcentral.